RNAcentral lists this ribosomal RNA (380 nucleotides) under Fictibacillus marinisediminis. RNAcentral describes it as "bacterial SSU rRNA". It matches the Rfam family "Bacterial small subunit ribosomal RNA", at positions 1 to 370 of the family's 1533-position model. The record is from RNAcentral. Lineage: Bacteria; Bacillati; Bacillota; Bacilli; Caryophanales; Fictibacillaceae.
UUAUUGGAGAGUUUGAUCCUGGCUCAGGAUGAACGCUGGCGGCGUGCCUAAUACAUGCAAGUCGAGCGGACCAAAGAGAGCUUGCUCUCUGAGGUUAGCGGCGGACGGGUGAGUAACACGUGGGUAACCUGCCUGUAAGACGGGGAUAACUUCGGGAAACCGAAGCUAAUACCGGAUGAUAAAGAGAAACGCCUGUUUCUUUUUUGAAAGUCGGCCUUGUGCUGACGCUUACAGAUGGGCCCGCGGCGCAUUAGCUAGUUGGUGAGGUAACGGCUCACCAAGGCGACGAUGCGUAGCCGACCUGAGAGGGUGAUCGGCCACACUGGGACUGAGACACGGCCCAGACUCCUACGGGAGGCAGCAGUAGGGAAUCUUCGGCA